CCUGUCCCCAGAGGGGGUGCAGGUGCGGCUGCUGUGCCACACGUGCUUCCGCAGGUGGCAGAGAGGGGUAAGGCCGCGUCCACACUCAGUGUGCUCACCUGUGAACAUCGGGAUGAUUAGUAGCCUAUCGUU
Molecule: small nucleolar RNA, 132 nt
Filed under: Meriones unguiculatus (Mongolian gerbil)
Lineage: Eukaryota; Metazoa; Chordata; Mammalia; Rodentia; Muridae
Description: Small nucleolar RNA SNORA17 (ENSMUGG00000007605.1)
Rfam family: Small nucleolar RNA SNORA17
About the family: snoRNA ACA 17 belongs to the H/ACA family of snoRNAs and is predicted to guide pseudouridylation of the 28S rRNA at positions U4659 and U4598. It shares the same host gene together with ACA43. NB This family has a high threshold value to exclude a large number of closely related sequences that do not appear to have conserved H and ACA boxes, and may be pseudogenes.
Source: RNAcentral